Molecule: ribosomal RNA, 3087 nt
Filed under: Drosophila virilis
Lineage: Eukaryota; Metazoa; Arthropoda; Insecta; Diptera; Drosophilidae
Description: eukaryotic LSU rRNA
Rfam family: Eukaryotic large subunit ribosomal RNA (bases 1892-3087)
Source: RNAcentral
CUCAUAUCGCUGGUCUCAAGGCCCGGCUACUUGGUUUGGUGGGGCAAGUGCGUCGUAUUUUGAGGUCUGACUGGGGCCUAAGCAGACGUGCUGUCCGCACCAUCUAUGAGGGUCUGUUUGUUGCAUGUGCAGCAUAUGGAUCGUCUGUAUGGUGCAAGGCGGUCACGACUGUGGUCGGCAGAAAGAAAGUGCUGGCUUGCCAGAGAGUGCUUCUGUUAGGUUGUUUGCCUGUGUGCCGCACUGUCUCUACGGAGGCAAUGCAGGUACUGUUAGGAGUAGCCCCUCUUGACUUGGAGAUCAGGCGUCGAGCCUUGAUGUACAGGAUCAAGAGGCGGCUGCCAUUGCUGCAGAAUGAUUGGCUAGCGGGUAGGGAUGUGGAGAGUUUAGGGCUUAGUGAAUGCAAGAGAUUGGUGAAAGAGUGUGUUUUGUCUGACUGGCAAGUCAGAUGGGACACUAGCGUGAAUGGGCGUGUCACUCAUCGGUUUAUACGGGAGGUUACAUUUGCCGGCAGCCGACCAGACUUUGGGUUCGGCCUGAGUCUUGGAUUCCUGUUGACUGGUCACGGUUCCCUCAAUGCAUUCUUGCAUUCGAGGAACCUUUAUGACAGUCCAGAAUGCCGUUGUGGCUCGGCUGCUGAGACAUGGGAGCAUGUUCUCUGUGAGUGCACAAGGUAUGCAGAUUUUCGAGAUCUGAGGGGGAUGGGUAUAAGUGAGGUUAGUGGCGGGUUUGACGUAAGUCAAUCACUCUCCACUAGUGAUAGGGUUAGAAGAAUGAGUGAGUUUGCUAGAGCUGCAUUUUCCAGGCGACGUUUGCAAUUGCAGGAAGGAAUUGUAUGAAUGAUGAUGGAUGGUAGAUGUGAGAAUGUGGGGGUACGAAUGUGGGGGUGUUUCUGAAUGGUAAUUUUUGUUGAACAUUGUGUUGUGUUGGGGCUACCAACCCUUAACUGUUUUGGAGUUUAAAUUGGAAGUGCCCUUCUGGUACGAGGCCUGACCGGAGGCUUUUAAUCUGGUACCACGGGUAACCAGGAGCCCACGGAACUUGUUCCGUCCUGGUUAGUUGGUGCGGCCCUUCGGGGAGUAUCGUGGUGGUUGUGGUUUAACACCCAAAUGCGGGUAGAGCAUCGCUCGACGUGGAGUUGCGUCAUACACCGGGUUCCGUGACCCAGAUUAACGGAAGAGGCUUAGAUAGUCCUCGUGCCAAACCAAGGUAGAAGUCACAACCAAACAGUCGUGUCUUUAAUUGGUACCUGCGGAAUUGUUCCAAGGGGGCGGUGAUUGACGCUUGAAUUAAUCCUAUACUAGGAACCGUGAGAUUAAGCCAUCGCGGCAGUGCUCACGUUAAGCCCACUGACUUUCAUGUCCAAUGAGUGAGUUUGCUAGAGCUGCAUUUUCCAGGCGACGUUUGCAAUUGCAGGAAGGAAUUGUAUGAAUGAUGAUGGAUGGUAGAUGUGAGAAUGUGGGGGUACGAAUGUGGGGUGUUUCUGAAUGGUAAUUUUUGUUUGAACAUUGUGUUGUGAUGGGGCUACCAACCCUUAACUGUUUUGGAGUUAAAUUGGAAGUGCCCUUCUGGUACGAGGCCUGACCGGAGGCUUUUAAUCUGGUACCACGGGUAACCAGGAGCCCACGGAACUUGUUCCGUCCUGGUUAGUUGGUGCGGCCCUUCGGGGAGUAUCGUGGUGGUUGUGGUUUAAACACCCAAAUGCGGGUAGAGCAUCGCUCGACGUGGAGUUUGCGUCAUACAACCGGGUUCCGUGACCCAGAUUACGGAAGAGGCUUAGAUAGUCCUCGUGCCAAACCAAGGUAGAAGUCACAACCAAACAGUCGUGUCUUUAAUUGGUACCUGCGGAAUUGUUCCAAGGGGGCGGUGAUUGACGCUUGAAUUAAUCCUAUACUAGGAACCGUGAGAUUAAGCCAUCGCGGCAGGUGCUCACGUUAAGCCCACUGACUUUCAUGUCCCUAUCUACUAUCUAGCGAAACCACAGCCAAGGGAACGGGCUUGGAAUAAUUAGCGGGGAAAGAAGACCCUUUUGAGCUUGACUCUAAUCUGGCAGUGUAAGGAGACAUAAGAGGUGUAGAAUAAGUGGGAGAUAUUAGACUUCGGUUUGGUAUCGACAAUGAAAUACCACUACUCUUAUUGUUUCCUUACUUACUUGAUUAAAUGGAACGUGUAUCAUUUCCUAGCCAUUAUACGGAUAUAAUUAUUAUGUCUUAUGGUAUUGGGUUUUGAUGCAAGCUUCUUGAUCAAAGUAUCACGAGUUUGUUAUAUAAUCGCAAACAAAUUCUUUAAUGAGAGAAUGCAUUUAUGUAUUAUUGAUUUAAAAAUUUGGUAUAACUCCAAUUACUCAGGUAUGAUCCAAUUCAAGGACAUUGCCAGGUAGGGAGUUUGACUGGGGCGGUACAUCUCUCAAAUAAUAACGGAGGUGUCCCAAGGCCAGCUCAGUGCGGACAGAAACCACACAUAGAGCAAAAGGGCAAAUGCUGACUUGAUCUCGGUGUUCAGUACACACAGGGACAGCAAAAGCUCGGCCUAUCGAUCCUUUUGGUUUUAAAGAGUUUUUAACAAGAGGUGUCAGAAAAGUUACCAUAGGGAUAACUGGCUUGUGGCGGCCAAGCGUUCAUAGCGACGUCGCUUUUUGAUCCUUCGAUGUCGGCUCUUCCUAUCAUUGUGAAGCAAAAUUCACCAAGCGUUGGAUUGUUCACCCAUGCAAGGGAACGUGAGCUGGGUUUAGACCGUCGUGAGACAGGUUAGUUUUACCCUACUAAUGACAAAACGUUGUUGCGACAGCAUUCCUGCGUAGUACGAGAGGAACCGCAGGUACGGACCAAUGGCACAAUACUUGUUCGAGCGAACAGUGGUAUGACGCUACGUCCGUUGGAUUAUGCCUGAACGCCUCUAAGGUCGUAUCCGUGCUGGACUGCAAUGAUAAAUAAGGGGCAAUUUGCAUUGUAUGGCUUCUAAACCAUUAAAAGUUUUUAAUUUGUUUUAUUAACGACAAUGGAUGUGAUGCCAAUGUUAUUUAUAACAUAGUAAAUUGGGAGGAUCUUCGAUCACCUGAUGCCGCGCUAGUUAUAUUUUAAAACAUUAUUU